Molecule: ribosomal RNA, 752 nt
Filed under: uncultured Bacteroidales bacterium
Lineage: Bacteria; Pseudomonadati; Bacteroidota; Bacteroidia; Bacteroidales
Description: bacterial SSU rRNA
Rfam family: Bacterial small subunit ribosomal RNA
Source: RNAcentral
GAUGAACGCUUGCGGCAGGCUUAAUACAUGCAAGUCGAACGGUAACAGGGUCUUCGGACUGCUGACGAGUGGCGGAUGGGUGAGUAACGCGUAUGCAACCUUCCUCACACCGAGAAAAAGUCGACUGAAAAGUUGAAUAAAGUCUCGUGGUGUGCAUUUCUCGCAUGAGAGAUGUAUGAUAGAAGCAAUUUGGUGUGAGAUGGGCAUGCGUAUCAUUAGCUAGUUGGUAAGGUAACGGCUUACCAAGGCUACGAUGAUUAGGGGGCCUGAGAGGGUGGUCCCCCACACUGGGACUGAGACACGGCCCAGACUCCUACGGGAGGCAGCAGUAGGGAAUAUUGGUCAAUGGGCGGAAGCCUGAACCAGCCAUGCCGCGUGAUGGAUGACGGCCUUAGGGUUGUAAACAUCUUUUCUGCUAGAGGAAUAGAGUUCACGUGUGGACAGACGACUGUAUAGCAGGAAUAAGGAUCGGCUAACUCUGUGCCAGCAGCCGCGGUAAUACGGAGGAUUCGAGCGUUAUCCGGAUUUACUGGGUUUAAAGGGUGCGCAGGCGGGCUCUUAAGUCAGCGGUGAAAUGUCUGGGCUUACCCUAGGAAUUGCCGUUGAUACUGGGAGUCUUGGAUAAGCAUAAGGACGGCGGAAUGCGUAGUGUAGCGGUGAAAUGCUUAGAUAUUACGUAGAAGACCAAUUGCGAAGGCAGCUGUCUGGGUCUUUAUCGACGCUCAAGCACGAAAGCGUGGGGAGCAAACAGG